GGGUUUGUAGUGUAGUGGUAUCGCGCUUCAUUUGGGAUCCGCUUUCCCCCAGGGGAUAUAGGAGACUCUUUGAAGAGGUCCCGCGUUCGAUCCGCGGCUGACCCC
Kwoniella heveanensis BCC8398 is the source of this 105-nucleotide transfer RNA. It matches the Rfam family "tRNA". Rfam says of the family: Transfer RNA (tRNA) molecules are approximately 80 nucleotides in length. Their secondary structure includes four short double-helical elements and three loops (D, anti-codon, and T loops). Lineage: Eukaryota; Fungi; Basidiomycota; Tremellomycetes; Tremellales; Cryptococcaceae. The record is from Rfam.